RNAcentral lists this long non-coding RNA (420 nucleotides) under Numida meleagris (helmeted guineafowl). Its description in RNAcentral is "lncRNA (ENSNMEG00000022336.1)". Lineage: Eukaryota; Metazoa; Chordata; Aves; Galliformes; Numididae. The record is from RNAcentral.
UGGAAGUUCUGUCACUGUUACUUGCUUGUAUCUGAAAAGGUGUCAGUAGUUCCAGAGAAGAAGCUAAUUCCUCCUCUUCCUCCCAUCUACUCACUCAGAUUUCCAGAGCACCCUGAGGAAAACCUGCACUGGGUCUUCAGGACUCCAGAAAGCGUGACUCUUUGACUGUUCCAUGGUCUGAUAUGGCUUAGAGUGCCUCACCUCCUCCACUGCCCAGCUCUGCCAGAGUAUUCGAAGCACCUCGCAAACAUGACACCUUCCAGGAGAUGUUCGUAUCCAUGUAAUACACAAUUUCUUCUGUUGUCAGCCAAGAAGUAGAAGUAGACUUGCAUUUUCCCUGACAUAUGAUGUACAUUUCAUGAACUCAGUAUUUUGGUUUCCCAUGGCCUUUAACAAUACAGGUAAUAAUUUUUGCUCUUG